Molecule: ribosomal RNA, 253 nt
Filed under: uncultured bacterium
Lineage: Bacteria
Description: partial 16S ribosomal RNA
Rfam family: Bacterial small subunit ribosomal RNA
Source: RNAcentral
UACGGAGGGUGCAAGCGUUAUCCGGAUUCACUGGGUUUAAAGGGUGCGUAGGCGGGCAGGUAAGUCCGUGGUGAAAUCUCGGAGCUUAACUCCGAAACUGCAUUCGAUACUACCGUGCUUGAGGACUGGAGAGGAGACUGGAAUUUACGGUGUAGCGGUGAAAUGCGUAGAUAUUCGGAAGAACACCAGUGGCGAAGGCGACUCACUGGACACAUAUUGACGCUGAGGUGCGAAAGCGUGGGGAGCAAACAGG